GCUGGGCAUGGUGGCGCAUGCCCGUGAUCCCAACUACCCAGGAGGCUGAGGCAGGAGAAUCGCUUGAACCCAGGAGGCUGAGGUUGCAGUGAGCCGAGAUCACGCUACUGCACUCCAGCCUGGGUGACAGAGCAAGAUUCUGUCUCAA
Unclassified non-coding RNA from Papio anubis (olive baboon), 148 nucleotides. It matches the Rfam family "Metazoan signal recognition particle RNA". Rfam says of the family: The signal recognition particle (SRP) is a universally conserved ribonucleoprotein. It is involved in the co-translational targeting of proteins to membranes. Lineage: Eukaryota; Metazoa; Chordata; Mammalia; Primates; Cercopithecidae. The record is from Ensembl.